This 1097-nucleotide long non-coding RNA is filed under the name Marmota monax (woodchuck). Lineage: Eukaryota; Metazoa; Chordata; Mammalia; Rodentia; Sciuridae. The record is from RNAcentral.
AACUCAGUGUCUUUCCUAACAGUUACUGAACUCAUCACUUACGUUUAUUUUUUUUUUCUUCAGAUAUAGAGUGAUAGAUCCAAGAUCUAGAACACUCCUUUGUUUUCAGUGACCCCCCCCAAUCUCAAGGGAAAUGGGGGCAGAGAGAUGUCAUCCUUAGGGAGAAGGGAGAGCUUUGCUCCAGCUGGUGCUGUGCACGAGAUGGGGUGACGCUGUCCCCAGGACUGGGGACCAAGCAGGUCCAGAAGCAGAAGCAAAUCUCCAUUUAACCUAAAUGCUGCAUUUCCAGGACAUCAAGCAAAUAUAUAUUUGGCCUUCCCCACUCCAUUCAAAGAUGUUUAAGUAACAGAGGCCAAAGAGAAUUUUAAAAAUGUUUUCCAGAGGCUGCGGAUGUGGCUCAGUGAUAGAGAGCUUGCCUAGCGUGUGUGAGGCCCUGGGUUCCACCAUCCACAGCACUGAAAAAACCUUAUUUUUUUCAAAUAUAUAUUUUUGGAAAUUAGGUGCUGAUCCCCCCCUUGUAGUGUUAGAAAAUCUGAUUCUCUAUUGAUUAAAUGUAAAUAUAACAAGUCUUCAAGAAAGGAAGAACCUGGGAACAUGUGGAGUAGCUUAUCAAUUAUCUACUCACCUACGUAUUUGGCCAAAGAUUGUAGAGAAACAGGAGGAUGUAAAAGUAAUAAGUAGAGGAAAUCGCCUUUGCUAAACUAAUCAGACUCAUGGAUGACUUUGUAUUUCUGCGGCACAGGCUGGCAUAAUUCAUCUUGGCAAAAUCUCCACUGCACCCUUGUGUUUUAGUAACAGCAGAAAAAAAUAUCAAAGUGUUUCAAAGAUAUGUGGGCACUUCCACAGGCCGACAGGACUGAAUCAGGAGACCCCUAGGUUAAUCAACGGGGGCUCAUUUAGCUUCUGUUUUUAUGGGAACUCAACUGAGGAUCUGCCCACGUUCCCAGCCCUUACUGAUCCCUCUGGUUCAAAGCACAAGUGUUAAGUGGAAGAUCCUAUAGGAGAGCAGAGACCAGAAAGCUCCAUCUGACAAAUCUUCCAAAAAUCUUCCUUUAGAUUGAACAAAUAACUGGCUCAAAUCAACCUUUUGCAUUUUA